RNAcentral lists this ribosomal RNA (321 nucleotides) under Breviceps fichus (highland rain frog). Its description in RNAcentral is "partial 12S ribosomal RNA". It matches the Rfam family "Bacterial small subunit ribosomal RNA", at positions 879 to 1368 of the family's 1533-position model. Lineage: Eukaryota; Metazoa; Chordata; Amphibia; Anura; Brevicipitidae. The record is from RNAcentral.
AUUACGAGCUAAAACUUAAAACCCAAAGGACUUGACGGUGUUCCACUCCCCCUAGAGGAGCCUGUGCUAUAAUCGACAAUACCCGCUAAACCCAACUGCUUUUUGACCAUCAGCCUGUAUACUUCCGUCGUAAGCUCACCAUGCUGAAAGACACACAGUGAGCCCAAAGGCCUACCGCCAACACGUCAGGUCAAGGUGCAGCCAAUAAAGCAGAUAGCGAUGGGCUACAAUUUCUAUAAUAGAACCUACGAAAAGCCAUAUGAAAUAUGACCACGAAGGAGGAUUUAGAAGUAAAAAGAAAAUAGAGUGUUCUUUUUAACU